RNAcentral lists this ribosomal RNA (1384 nucleotides) under Salmonella enterica subsp. enterica serovar Typhimurium. RNAcentral describes it as "partial 23S ribosomal RNA". It matches the Rfam family "Bacterial large subunit ribosomal RNA", at positions 1443 to 2811 of the family's 2925-position model. The record is from RNAcentral. Lineage: Bacteria; Pseudomonadati; Pseudomonadota; Gammaproteobacteria; Enterobacterales; Enterobacteriaceae.
CUUGGUGUUACUGCGAAGGGGGGACGGAGAAGGCUAUGUUGGCCGGGCGACGGUUGUCCCGGUUUAAGCGUGUAGGUGUGUGUUCCAGGUAAAUCCGGUUCACUUUAACACUGAGGCGUGACGACGAGGCACUACGGUGCUGAAGCAACAAAUGCCCUGCUUCCAGGAAAAGCCUCUAAGCAUCAGGUAACAUCAAAUCGUACCCCAAACCGACACAGGUGGUCAGGUAGAGAAUACCAAGGCGCUUGAGAGAACUCGGGUGAAGGAACUAGGCAAAAUGGUGCCGUAACUUCGGGAGAAGGCACGCUGACACGUAGGUGAAGUGAUUUACUCAUGGAGCUGAAGUCAGUCGAAGAUACCAGCUGGCUGCAACUGUUUAUUAAAAACACAGCACUGUGCAAACACGAAAGUGGACGUAUACGGUGUGACGCCUGCCCGGUGCCGGAAGGUUAAUUGAUGGGGUCAGCGCAAGCGAAGCUCCUGAUCGAAGCCCCGGUAAACGGCGGCCGUAACUAUAACGGUCCUAAGGUAGCGAAAUUCCUUGUCGGGUAAGUUCCGACCUGCACGAAUGGCGUAAUGAUGGCCAGGCUGUCUCCACCCGAGACUCAGUGAAAUUGAACUCGCUGUGAAGAUGCAGUGUACCCGCGGCAAGACGGAAAGACCCCGUGAACCUUUACUAUAGCUUGACACUGAACAUUGAGCCUUGAUGUGUAGGAUAGGUGGGAGGCUUUGAAGUGUGGACGCCAGUCUGCAUGGAGCCGACCUUGAAAUACCACCCUUUAAUGUUUGAUGUUCUAACGUGGACCCGUAAUCCGGGUUGCGGACAGUGUCUGGUGGGUAGUUUGACUGGGGCGGUCUCCUCCUAAAGAGUAACGGAGGAGCACGAAGGUUGGCUAAUCCUGGUCGGACAUCAGGAGGUUAGUGCAAUGGCAUAAGCCAGCUUGACUGCGAGCGUGACGGCGCGAGCAGGUGCGAAAGCAGGUCAUAGUGAUCCGGUGGUUCUGAAUGGAAGGGCCAUCGCUCAACGGAUAAAAGGUACUCCGGGGAUAACAGGCUGAUACCGCCCAAGAGUUCAUAUCGACGGCGGUGUUUGGCACCUCGAUGUCGGCUCAUCACAUCCUGGGGCUGAAGUAGGUCCCAAGGGUAUGGCUGUUCGCCAUUUAAAGUGGUACGCGAGCUGGGUUUAGAACGUCGUGAGACAGUUCGGUCCCUAUCUGCCGUGGGCGCUGGAGAACUGAGGGGGGCUGCUCCUAGUACGAGAGGACCGGAGUGGACGCAUCACUGGUGUUCGGGUUGUCAUGCCAAUGGCACUGCCCGGUAGCUAAAUGCGGAAGAGAUAAGUGCUGAAAGCAUCUAAGCACGAAACUUGCCCCGAGAUGAGUUC